RNAcentral lists this ribosomal RNA (497 nucleotides) under uncultured bacterium. RNAcentral's name for it is "partial 16S ribosomal RNA". It matches the Rfam family "Bacterial small subunit ribosomal RNA", at positions 28 to 507 of the family's 1533-position model. The record is from RNAcentral.
GAUGAACGCUGGCGGCGUGCCUAAUACAUGCAAGUCGAGCGAACGGACGAGAAGCUUGCUUCUCUGAUGUUAGCGGCGGACGUGUGAGUAACACGUGGAUAACCUACCUAUAAGACUGGGAUAACUUCGGGAAACCGGAGCUAAUACCGGAUAAUAUUUUGAACCGCAUGGUUCAAAAGUGAAAGACGGUCUUGCUGUCACUUAGAGAUGGAUCCGCGCUGCAUUAGCUAGUUGUUAAGGUAACGGCUUACCAAGGCAACGAUGCAUAGCCGACCUGAGAGGGUGAUCGGCCACACUGGAACUGAGACACGGUCCAGACUCCUACGGGAGGCAGCAGUAGGGAAUCUUCCGCAAUGGGCGAAAGCCUGACGGAGCAACGCCGCGUGAGUGAUGAAGGUCUUCGGAUCGUAAAACUCUGUUAUUAGGGAAGAACAUAUGUGUAAGUAACUGUGCACAUCUUGACGGUACCUAAUCAGAAAGCCACGGCUAACUACGUG